UAGGGAAUCUUCGGCAAUGGACGAAAGUCUGACCGAGCAACGCCGCGUGAGUGAAGAGGGUUUUCGGAUCGUAAAACUCUGUUGUUAGAGAAGAACAAGGAUGAGAGUAAAACGUUCAUCCCUUGACGGUAUCUAACCAGAAAGCCACGGCUAACUACGUGCCAGCAGCCGCGGUAAUACGUAGGUGGCAAGCGUUGUCCGGAUUUAUUGGGCGUAAAGCGAGCGCAGGCGGUUUCUUAAGUCUGAUGUGAAAGCCCCCGGCUCAACCGGGGAGGGUCAUUGGAAACUGG
Molecule: ribosomal RNA, 290 nt
Filed under: uncultured bacterium
Lineage: Bacteria
Description: partial 16S ribosomal RNA
Rfam family: Bacterial small subunit ribosomal RNA
Source: RNAcentral